UUUAUUAGAAAGUAUAAACAAUCAAAUCUUUUAUAUUUUCAAAUCUUUUUUAUUUCUCCUAAAAACUUAAAAUAAAAUAUCAGAAGCGUUUCAGUUUUUUUCAUAUUUAAAAGCAACUCCUUUUUAUCAAACCACUUUUCAGUUUUUACGGAAAUUUUUUUCAGUUUUUUAUUUUUAUUUUUAUGUUUGUUUCAUGUAAAAUAAGAUGAUUAACAUAAAAAAAAUUUCAGUCAUAGUAAAAUUAUUUCCUUAUUUCCGUAACUGUAACACCUCCAUACCCGACCUAAACAUCCGAUCAAAGCAUAGGGAUGUUACAUUCUCUAUUACAUUCUUCAUUUAUUAAAUAUUUUCUUAUAAAUUUUCAUAACUUUUCAAUUUAGUCCCUUUUUGUCAUAAAAGUUCAAUAUUCACUAAAUUAAUCAUAUUAAAUCAAAUUUUUUCUUGUUACACUUUAAUCACAUAAUUUAUGUCAAUAUCUUGCUACACAUAUUAAAUUUUUAUGUAUUUCACUUUUAUGAUUUCAUCCACAUAUUUUCUCAAGUUUAACAAUUUAGUCCUUAUCAUCAUAAAAAUUUCAUAUUUUUCCACAAUUUUACUUUUACAAUACUUUAUGCAUAUUGCAUCAUCUCAUAACGCAUUCACUAAACUUUUGUCAUAAUUUUCUUAUUCACAUAUUAAAUUAUUUAACACUUAAUCUUUUGUACAUUUUUCAAUUUAGUUCUUAUUGCAAUGUAAUUUAUUUUUCACCAUAUAAGCACUUUAAUCAAAUAAUUUAUUAUAAUAUCUUAUUUCACGUAACAAAUUUUCCAUGCACAUCGCUUCUCUUGUUUCAAUUAUAAAUUUCACAAGAUUUAUAACUUAAUCCUUAACAUCACGAAGAAUUAUACAACUUCUAUAAAAUACUUUUAGAAAAUCUAUAAAAUAAAGCUUUCCAGAAACCAUUUUUAAAGAGACAAACGUAUCCUUAAUGUAAGCAAAGCAAGAUACAAAUUUCAAACUGCAAAAAGCAAUACAAAUUUUUGUGUACUCUGAUUUUUCGGUGGGUUGGGUGUCUUUUACCCUCUUUAUCCUCAAGAAGACAAAUUUCAAACUGCAAGAAGCAAUACAAAUUUGCAUAUUUUUCCAAACUACACUAAUAUCCAACCACUACACUCCAUCUAACAUUCAAAACUUUCACAAACUUUUCUGUACUCUGAUUUAUGGCAUCUUUGUUGCCAUAUAUAUAUAUACAUAUACACAAUAACAAAACCAUCUCUUUCACCUUUAAUUUUUCAUUUUCAAUGGCUAUAAUUCAUGGCCCUAACUGUUAAGCUAACCUAGAGAUUAGCCUACAGAGAUAAAACACUACUUUAAGUUUUAUUUUUUCAUUUUCAAUCUCCUCCUGUAGAGAUAAAACACUACUUUGAGCAGUUCGAUGAUGAAAGGAAGAGAAGGACUACAGUGUUUGGUUUUAUGAGCCAUUUGCAUGCUGGAAAUGCUACUGAGUUAUGGUUGAGCAGUGACGGGUUUGCUCUUACUUGAAAAAAGGAAAAAAAAAAAGAAUACAAAAUUAAUUUUGCUCUUACUUGAAAGAGAUUGACGGGAGGACCGAUGGUGACUACCUGACUGGUGAACAAUGAUGGUGGACCGGUGGUGACUGCCUGACUGAUGAACGACGAUGGUGGUGGCCGGAAGGCAAAGUUAUUUUGUUGGGGGGAUUUAGAAAUUAGCUGUUAGAAAUUGGGGGCUGUCAACUGAAGAGGAAAAGAAAAGUAAGGGUAGGCAAAUAGGAAUUUAAUUCGGCCCGAGUCAAAAUUUUCCUAUAUGAGUCCCGGUCUAUUUUUUAAAAGAGUUUUGUGUUUUAUCUAACAAUGGUCGAGUCUAAACUUUCUCAUUUUAUAUAUCGGUUCUCGAACCUAAACAAGUGGCUUAAUCUACGAGUAGGUCUAGUCCUAUCCAAACAAUAUUGGUUUAUUAUCUAAAAUUAAAAAAUAAUUAGAAAUAAGAAAAAUAACUCCACGUACAAUUUUCGAGAAAUAUAAAAAGAAAAGAGUUAAUAAAUGAAAAAGUUUUAUUUAAAAUAAUGUUAUUUAUUUCAUGUUUGUUCUGUUUAUUUCAUUCAUUAUAUCAAAUUCAAUUAAAAUUUUCUGUAUAGGGUUGAGAGUUAUAUAUAUUUUGCUUUCGUUAAAAAAGAUUUCAUCAACCAUGGCAAGAAUUUAAUUAAAAUUACUUUUUCUUUUCUUUUCUCUUCUUCUUCUCUCUAAAAAGAAGAGAAAUGAAGGAUCGGUUGAAAAGAUCCAUGGAAUUAAUUUUUUUUUUCAAAUUAUAUAUAUAUAUUUCUCAUUUUGAUUAUUACUUGUAAUGUAUUGAUGGGAGCAAGCUUCCUAACUAGCACAAGUUAAUUAAAUAACACAAGGGCUUGAAUACCUUAAUAUACCAGCUGAAUUCAUGUUGAAGGGUCUUCAUUUUUCUCUUCUUUUCUUUUCUAUGAGUGUUCUUGAAUUUGUGUAUUUCUGUCGAUGAACAAAACAGAUAAUGAUGGUGUUGGUUUGUACUGAAGCUGGUGAUUCUAUGAGAGGAGAAAGAAGAAACGAGGGGAGAGAUGGAAGAAAAUGAAAUUAAUUUUUUUGAUGAAACUUUUUUAACGGUUGGACUAAAAAUAUUAUCAAAUUCAAAAUUUAGGUCCCUUAAUAAAAAAAUAAUACUACUAUAAUUCAAGGCAAUUUAUUUUCUUGUACCUUUUCAUUUUCUCUAUCCAUUCCUUCAAUUUUUAUCUAAUUUUAUUAUUUUUAUUUUUUGAAUGGUGACAAACUAAAACAACGAGAGCCAAAACACGAAAAUUGACUCAUUUUUAAAUUCCAUAACCUUUUGAAGUGCUAUCAAACUAUAUCAAUUAUUGCUUAUAGUUGACAUCAUAAAUUCUUCCAGAGACACUCAUUUUAGAUAGAAUCAUGUCUUUGGGUUAGAUUUGAGCAUAUAGUACAUCAUUUAUCUGUGACUCUCCUUUUGGCCAUGAAUCAUGGUGUGGAGUCACAAACAUCUUUGCUGGGGCUCUACCCUACAUCUUGAACUUGAAACAGAUCAUUAAAGUUUUAUUUAAUGAUAUUUUAAUAGUAGACGUUGACAGCUAAGUUUAAGUCCAAAAGAAGAAACGAGUUUAAACAAUCAAAUAACAUUGUCAAUCAAAAGUUCUUUAUCUGCAAACCCACUUGAAUGUGAGUUGAGAAUUUGUUUGAGAACAAGGAAAUGGUUAAGUGUGGAGAUAUUUAGUAAGUGCUAAAACUAACAUAUUUUAACCUCAUUCUUAAUGCGUUUUUGGGUGAUUAUUUAUUGGUAAUUGUAAAUUUUAUGCUUCUAAUCCUUUAAAUUCGUGUUUUAAUGCUAAAUAGAGUACUUGGGAGCAAAAGGAGCGAAGAACGAGCGAAAACCGAAAAAUCGGAGCAAGCUACAAGAGCCACACAACCGUGUGACCUAAACGGGCUACCACAUGGUCAUGUCGUAGGUUGUGUCGCACGUCGUGUCGAUUUCAUGAAAUGGCGCACUAAACAGCGGAAAAACACGUUUUUUAGGUUUUUUGGGCAUUCUAAGACGUAUAUAUGACAAAAAUAAGAAGAUAGGAGAGUGUUGUCAUAGAAUAUUCAAGAAAACAACUCGAAAAAAACCAUUGAAGCUGAUUCUGAAGCAGAUUUCCGUCAAGAUUGAAGAUUCCCAGUUGAUUUCUUAAGAGAUUAUCACUAGUUUCUUUAUUUUUUUCGGUUAUGUUGUAUCUUAGAUGUAUUUAUUUUCAAGCAUGAGCUAAU
RNAcentral lists this long non-coding RNA (3779 nucleotides) under Gossypium barbadense (sea-island cotton). RNAcentral describes it as "long non-coding RNA (GBAR_LNC019473)". The record is from RNAcentral. Lineage: Eukaryota; Viridiplantae; Streptophyta; Magnoliopsida; Malvales; Malvaceae.